AUGCCUUGGGAUCCUACUGCUCUCUGGCUUUCCCUGUGGGGCACCAGUGCUUUUGAAAACUUCGUUACAUUCCCAGUAACCCUCAUCAAUGCCUGUUACUAUGUCAUGGAUGGGAAGUGGUGGUCAAUGAAGUUCAACGAACAGUUUCCAACUUUUUAUUUCAAUAGUAGGAAGAAUAACUCCGGCUUCAAGUUGGAAAUGACCAGGCCCCAAGACGAAGUCUCGAUGAGAGGAAAGGUUAGUGAAUGGGCAGCAUGUGACGAGAGCUGGUGUGUGUGCCAGGUGAGGGCUGCUGGGGACACUUUUGCAAGUAGCUUUUUGGUGAGGACAAGAGCAGAUGCCCACUGACCUAACAAACACCCCAAACAAUAGAGCCCGGGCCCCCACCAGUAGACCAGACUAGUCUUUGCCUUCUUGCAGAUGGUCCAAUGAGUGACUGAGUCUGGGGAGCAGAUGGUGGUUUAGAUCACGUUAGGGCCAGGAGACUGGGGACAAGCAGAUGGAACCAAGAUAUAUGUUGGAGGCACCCUCAGCAGAAUUUGGCGAAGGUUUUUGAUGCCAGCAGUGGCAGGCAAGGGUGGGUACAUGGUGGUUGAGGAGGAGGAGGGGCAAGUCAGGGAGGACUCCCAAAAGUUUCUGGAUGGGGCUACUGUGUGGACCAAGGCACACGCAUCAAAAUUGAGAAGACUGGGAAAGGUUGGGUGAAAUAUGUACAGCCUAGUUUCAGAAAGCAGAGUUUGGGAUGCCUGGAGAAUCAUCCCGGUAGAAUGCCUGAGAACAGUAGCCAGUUGCAACUCUUACAAGAGAGGUCAGGGUGGAGACCCACCCGUGGCUUCUGUGAACCUAAUUUGGCUACCAUAAUGCUGUUUGGGUGAGAAAAUGGGGUUCAAAUUCAAAAUACCUGGUUAAACAAAUGCACUGUAGAGCAUAACUAUUUGGAAGCUGGGAGUAGCUGUGUACAUUUAUCCGAAGGGCCGAUUCGGGUUGUUAAGAGAUAGUAGUUUGGUGUAGUCAAAAAAGUAUGAGAUUAAAGAUCCUAAAAUACCAGUUCUUGACUCAGCUCCCAUCACUAAUAACCAGGUGUAACUAGAACAACUUACUGUCUUUGCCUGUUUCACACACUUUACUGUGACAUGAAAAGUAUAACAAGCCAUGAAGUUUACAGAAAUUAUCGUUUUAUUCAAGUUACAAUGAAAAUUUCUUAGCGGGAUAGCAGUGACAAAGUGGAUUGUUUCCCUUUUAGAUAGUUUUACUGUUCUCCCUUCUUAGCAAAAUACCACCUGCUUAUCUUUAAAAAAGAAAAGAAAAAGAAAAAAGAUAUAGAAAAACAGAAACGAGGAGAAAACCACCCACAUUUUCCCUACUCUGAGAAAAAAAUACUCUUAAUAGUUUGGAAUAUGUUCUGCAGGUAAUAUUUGCAUGGAAUUUUAAAAAUUAGAGAUCAUUUUAAAUGUGUAGAAAUAUACAGAGAAAUUCUGUAACAAUUACCAUAAACCAUGAGCCAUCAUUGAUCAAUCAGCAUUUUUUAAAGAUUUUAUUUAUUUAUUCAUGAGAGAGAGGGGAGGGGGCAGAGACACAGGCAGAGGGAGAAGCAGGCUCCAUGCAGGGAGCCCGACAUGGGACUCAGUUCCGGGACCCCAGGAUCAUGCCCUGGACUGAAGGUGGCCCUAAACCGCUCAGCCACCUGGGCUGCCCCAAUCUUAGCAUUUUGUAUUUGAUUUGGAUUCUUUCCUUUUGAAAUAGAAUGUAGAUACCAUUAAACCCUCCCACUCUUUUCAAUUCUUCCCCCUCCCUCCUAAAAUAAAACAACUAUGUGAAAUGGAAUUUCAUUGUUGUCUUUAACUUCAUUGGGUAACAAACUGAUUUUUUUUUUCACUUAUAGGUAAAUUGAUUGAAGAGUCUACCCUACUGAUUUGUCACAUUGAGCUUGUCAUAUACCAACUUGACAUCUAUCUAUGAAUUUCUUUCUGUGAUUGCUGAUUCUUUUAGGCUUGUUACCUCUAUAAUAAUAACACGAAAGUCUUAUUACUAAGUUUUUAAAUAAGUACUGGUAUAUAAUAGAGAAAGUCUCUCCAGUAUUUUUUUUCAAAGUUGCCAUAGCAAUUUUUUGCUCUUCAUGUUUCCAUAUGAAUUUUAUGAUCUCUGUCACAUACCACAAAAACCUGUGAUGGUAAUUUUUAAAAAUUGAGAUACAAUUGACAUGCCAUAAAUGUCACUCUUUUAAGGUGUAUGAUUCAGUGGUUUUUAGUGUACUCAUAAAGUUGUGCAGACAUCACUACUAUCUAGUUCUGGAAUAUUUUCAUCAUCCCAAAAAGAAACCCCACACCCAUUAGUAGUCAUCCCCCAUUUCUUCUCAUCCUUGCUCCUAAAAGCCACUAAUCUAUUUUUGUUUCCACAGAUUUGCUUGUUCUCUACAUUGCAUAUAAAUAGAAUCAUGCAUGUAGCCUUGUGUGUCUUGCCUAUUCCACUGAGCAUAACGUUUUCAAGGUUGAUCCACGUUAUAGUAUGAAUCAGUACUUCAGUCCUUUUGUAGGGCUGAAGAGCAUUCCAUGAUAUGGGUAUGCCACAUUUUGUUUAUCCCAUUCAUCAGUUGAUAGACAUUUGGGUUGUUUCUACUUUUUGGUUAUUAUGAAUAACCCUGCUGUGAACAUUUGUGUGCAAGUUUUUGUGUUGACACAUGUUCUCAUUUCUUCUGGAUCUGUACCUAGGAAUGAAAUUACUGGGGCAGAUGGUCACCAACCAGACAUAGGUAAGAACUUUAUGUUUAACCUUUUGAGAAGGUAGCAGACUGUUUGCCCAAGUGACUGCACCGUUUUACCUUCUUAGGUAGCGUGAAGUAGGUGUGAAAUGGUAACCUUUGUGGCAAUUCGAUUGAAAACGCAUUAGUUUCCGAAUUGAUUUGGCGAUAAUUAGCAUCUCCAUGUUGACUUUUUCAUCUACAACCCAAUAUGUAUAUUUGCAUUUGAUCGGAUCCUCUUUUAUACCCUUCCAGUCAUCUUGCUGAAUUGCUUUAUCAUUCAGGAACAAUGAUACCGUCUUAAAUAAUGGAAGUUUUGUCUCUUUCCAAUUAUUACACUUUUGCUUUUCUUGUCUAUAGUACUGGAUAAGACUUUGAAUUAGUGAUGAAUAGCACAGGUGUGAGAGUGGCAUUUUUUAAAAAGAUUUUAUUUAUUUAUUUAUUUAUUUAUUUAUUUAUUUAUUUAUGAGAGAU
This 3211-nucleotide long non-coding RNA is filed under the name Canis lupus familiaris (dog). RNAcentral describes it as "lncRNA (ENSCAFG00845017654.1)". The record is from RNAcentral. Lineage: Eukaryota; Metazoa; Chordata; Mammalia; Carnivora; Canidae.